Molecule: ribosomal RNA, 337 nt
Filed under: uncultured bacterium
Lineage: Bacteria
Description: bacterial SSU rRNA
Rfam family: Bacterial small subunit ribosomal RNA
Source: RNAcentral
GACGAACGCUGGCGGCGUGCUUAACACAUGCAAGUCGAGCGGUAAGGCCCUUUCGGGGGUACACGAGCGGCGAACGGGUGAGGAAUACAUGGGUAACCUACCCUCGAGUGGGGAAUAACUAGCCGAAAGGUUAGCUAAUACCGCGUACGCUUCUUGGACUUCGGUUCAGGGAGGAAAGCGAUGCCGAGGGUAUCGCGCUCUUGGAUGGGCUCAUGUCCUACCAGCUUGUUGGUGAGGUAACGGCNCACCAAGGCUUCGACGGGUAGCUGGUCUGAGAGGACGAUCAGCCACACUGGCACUGCGACACGGGCCAGACUCCUACGGGAGGCAGCAGUAA